RNAcentral lists this ribosomal RNA (109 nucleotides) under Pteropus alecto (black flying fox). RNAcentral also lists the same sequence under 1 other name. The record is from RNAcentral. Lineage: Eukaryota; Metazoa; Chordata; Mammalia; Chiroptera; Pteropodidae.
GUCUAUGGCCAUGCCACCCUGAUCAUGCCUGAUCUUGGAAGCUAAGCAGGGUCGGGCCUGGUUAGUACUUGGAAGGGAGACCACCUAGGACUGUCAGGUGCUAUAGGUG